This 1041-nucleotide long non-coding RNA is filed under the name Canis lupus familiaris (dog). RNAcentral's name for it is "lncRNA (ENSCAFG00030011754.1)". Lineage: Eukaryota; Metazoa; Chordata; Mammalia; Carnivora; Canidae. The record is from RNAcentral.
AUGGGGGGUGCAAGGGGGCGGCUCCUGCAGGGGAGGGCAACGGUCUCAGCUGGGGAGCGCAGGAAAGAGAAAGGAAAGAAACAAAAAGCAAGCUCCCCGCCUCCCGCGAGCAACCAAUUCCGCCUCAGAAGGCCACUGAAUUUUGCAGUCUGCAAGACAGGCUCCGGGGCGGGGGCGAGGGCGAGGGCGAGGGUUGGGGUGGGCGUGGGGGGUGCAAGGCGUUGCUUUGCAAGGGGCGGCCCGGCCCUCCGCAGUCGGAGGCUUCCCUACACGCACGCGGGUGGCUGGUUUCUGCAUAAAAGCAGGCCUCUCCCGGGCUUGCUGCAAAGUUACGGGCGCCGCGGGGAACAACUCCACAAGUGGCGUUGCCGGCGGCUGCUCGGGGCGCGCGGGGCGCGGGCCGGACCCGGACCCGAACCCGCCCGGGCCGGGGUGUGCGAGCGCGCGGGGGCGGCGGCCUGCAGGGCCGGGGCCGGGGCUGGGGCCGGGCCCGGGGCUGGGGGCUCACCCGGGGCUGCGGCCGGCGGGGGACCCGGAACUCGCGCGCUCAACUUCCCGCUGCCAAGCGGGAUGUUUGUCUUUUUAAUAUUUUUUUGGAGAGUGCGUGCCCUCCGCCCGCCCGGCCCGCGCACCCCCUCCCCGCGCACCCCCCCGCCCCCCGCCCCCGACAGCUGCGCGGCCGAGCGGAGCGGGGGGCGGCGACCUGGGUGGAGAGAGGCUGGCGCUGGGAGUGGCCCCGGGAGCCCCCGCCCGCAGGCCCGCCGGCCGCCUGCGGGAUCCCGGGCCUGCCCUCCGCGCCGGGGUCCUCCGAGGGCGCCGCUGCCCCGGGGUCGAGGCCCGACGUCCCGGCCCCCGCGCCGCGCUGCCAACUUGCUGCCGCGCGCCCCUUACCAAACCCGAGGCACACUUCUUUAUUUCUAUUAUUAUUCUCCCCCCCCCCCCCCCCCCCCCCCCCCCCCCCCCCCCCAGGGCCGGCUUUGCAAGAACGUGCAUCUCAAGAAAUCCGCGAACGUGCCCUUUGCAAAGGGAGCUUCUCCCUGA